This 62-nucleotide transfer RNA is filed under the name Pseudocolaspis sp. PSE01. RNAcentral describes it as "tRNA-His". It matches the Rfam family "tRNA". From Rfam's summary of the family: Transfer RNA (tRNA) molecules are approximately 80 nucleotides in length. Their secondary structure includes four short double-helical elements and three loops (D, anti-codon, and T loops). Further hydrogen bonds mediate the characteristic L-shaped molecular structure. tRNAs have two regions of fundamental functional importance: the anti-codon, which is responsible for specific mRNA codon recognition, and the 3' end, to which the tRNAs corresponding amino acid is attached (by aminoacyl-tRNA synthetases). tRNAs cope with the degeneracy of the genetic code in two manners: having more than one tRNA (with a specific anti-codon) for a particular amino acid; and 'wobble' base-pairing, i.e. permitting non-standard base-pairing at the 3rd anti-codon position. The record is from RNAcentral. Lineage: Eukaryota; Metazoa; Arthropoda; Insecta; Coleoptera; Chrysomelidae.
AUUCAAAUAGUUUAAGUAAAAUAUUAGUUUGUGGAUCUAAUGAUGUAUAUUUACUUUGAAUA